Gasterosteus aculeatus aculeatus (three-spined stickleback) is the source of this 28365-nucleotide long non-coding RNA. Lineage: Eukaryota; Metazoa; Chordata; Actinopteri; Perciformes; Gasterosteidae. The record is from Ensembl.
UGUAAAAUAAUCAGUAGUUUCUCUAUUAUGUUUAAUCUGAAGUUCGACUAAAUUCCAUCAAAAGCCUGGUACUUGUUUUAAGAUGGGCAAUGCAGCAGUGUUACCAGAGGCUGAGUGAAGCAGAGAGGAGGGGGAGAGAAAAUAACAACAAUAACUUUGAAGAUUCCAGGUCGCAUCGAAUGUGUGAGAAAAAAAACAACAACCUGUGCCUUCAGAGUGUUUCCAUUUAUUUUCCUUCACACUCACAUGUGCACACACACGCACGCACGCACACACAGUAAUAAAACCGCAAGGUACAUGCAAUCUGAGGGUUGGCUAAGCCACAUGAGGUAAACACAGGCACGCGCUGGGAGAAAUUAUUCUGAUAUUUGGUCCUGAAUGAAGUUGGACCUUCGGUGGGGGGAAAGAGCUUUUGUGGCGUUUAAGGCGUGUGCGUUUUCUCACGCUAAGCACAGCGUUGGCAGCUCCUCCACAUCUGGGUGUGAAAUCUUGUGUUAACAGGACUUGGUAUGGAGUUUAUGUCGCCGCUGAAAGUGACGAGGAACACCCAGCAUCAACCAGCUGUGUCUGUCUGCAGGGGAUGGGGGGGGGGGGGGCCUCGGCCCCCCCGGCAUGUUUGUGUGUGUGCGUGGAGCUAUGUGCACGGUGGGGUUUAACAUAAAGCCUAAGCUCAAAAUCAGCAAAGAUGAAAACAUGUAAAGGGACAUCCUAUCAAAUUAUUCAUGGUUAUACUUUCCAUGAACUGAAACAUAAUGGAUAGUGGGGGUGGGGCUGCGGAACAGACACGGGCCCCAUGGUAACCUUCUGAGAUGAGAAAAGAAACUGAAUCAAUACCCAUACCGUUGACACCAUGUGCCAGAGAUUGAUACUCUGCUCACGCAAAUUAAAUGUACACGCCUUUCUAAAUUCAACAAUAUUGUUGUUGUGGAACUAAGCCAUUGCAAACUUAGAUUGUGUCACAGGCGUUGAAGAAUACACACGCCUCAAACCUUCGGGGUACUGAUCGGUAUCUGAGACCCAGGCUAAUGCCAAUUACUGGGUACCCCGGUCCAAUGAUUACCACACACAGACAAGUGAGAAUCUCCCAGAAUCUCCCGGAAUGCUGAACAAAUGCCCUUGUUUGUCAGAGGCGGAGCCUGUUGUGGAGCGGGAUGUAAGGCAGGGCUGCUCUUCCUGCCUCGCAAAGACUCAAGCAGCACGGACUAAUGCUUUGGUGAAAACAUUAGUGGAACAAAAAAGGACUAGUUUAACAGCUGGAUCAACUAAUAAAGGAAGGGUCCAAAUGCACUUGCAAAGUCAGGGCCACAUCAAUGGGGGGGGGGGGGGGGGUCUUGACAACUAGUCCGACUAUUUAAGGGGUCAUGAGGGCACUUUCACAACCCUAAAGGGAAUUUGAACCAAUUGGAGAAGGGAUUUGUGUUCACAGCUAUUUAAUGUCAAGUCAAGCUGAAAAAGUUUCAAACACUAGCGGGGGUGGAAGCACACAAGUGGAUGAACUCCUGGAGCCUUACUAUGAAUAAUCAAAUUGCCAUCGUUUUCAUUUUUAGUUGAAGUAUGGAAGUUUUGUCUCUCCCCUCUGGCAAAGAGAGUAAUUGCCACAUGGGAGACACCAUAGUGACAAAGCACACUUUGCAGUACACAGAAAGCUGUGGCAAUAAAGCCUGAGGAAAUGUCUCAGAUAGGUUUAUGGAGUGGACACUCCAGCUAAAAACAACCUUUGAGUACAAAGUACAGAAUGGCCACAGAUGGGAAUUAGCUGACGAUUGAUUUUUGAUUGAAUUUUAUAUGGAAGGUGUUAACGCUCAGCUAAUCAACAAGUAAGUUAUAUCCUUUUAUCUACGUUUUUUAUAGGAACGGACCCUGCAUAUCUUUCAUUAAUUCCAAAACUAAUAGCAUAUAUGGCGUCCAAAAGUGUCACUGGGACAGGUAUUGGAGUAAUACCCAUUGACAUGAGUCAGAUCCUAAAUCCAAUCUCUGAGUGUGUUUUAUCACCAUUCAUCAUGUGUGAUAGAUUUAGUCCAAAACCAACUCCAACUUGUUUUUAGGUACAAUUUUCUAGGUCUCGUGGCUUGUAGAGUUAAUGAUGUGGAUAAUGCUGAAUUAAUUAUGUGUUAGCGUCCCGAUUGGAUUUGCCAGCACGUUUUCUGCUCUUUCUGCCAUCCUUUUAAAGCCGUUCUGAAAUGACAGACUCACUUAAAAAAAGAGAGAAAUUGACGUUAAUUACCUUCACUUUCAGUAAUGCCAAGUAUCAAUGAAGCUUAGGCGAAAAAUCAGUCAGGAAGACUGGACAGGCUGUGCCGUUCCCUGGUGGCCUCCUCUCUCCCUGUGGGUGCACGGGCAGCUGAUCAGGGACGGGUGAAACCAGCCAACCAGACGUGGGGGCCGUUAACGUAAACCAAUUGAAUCUGUGCUGGCAAACGUUAAAAAACUGUUCCUCUUUGAUGCUGUCAGUUUUCAUUUCAGCACACACCAAAGGCGAAGCAAAACGGGAGUCCGAACUAGCACGAGCUACUCUGGGUAACAGGAAGAGCACUACACCCAGUACGUGUUCUCCACCAACCACUCCGGGCCCAUCGAGGACGGACACCUCCACCCUACAAGCACGGGUCAGCUCAAGACCUGGGAAAUGUGGCGCCUAUUCUAACCCUGUUUAUAAUAAAGCAUUGUUAAAAUUUCUACAAGUCUCUCCGGAUUGAAUUAGCAUUGCAGCCUUAUGGAAGACGUUUGCAUUUAUCCACGAUAUACAAAUAAACCACAGGCAACAAGACAACCUAGUGAGGUUGAGGGAGACAUCGCUGCAAUAGUUCAAAUUACUACAUAAAAUCAAUAAACGUCGAUGGUACAUAUUAUUUCAAUUGACGCACUAAAAGAAAAGAUGUUAAGUUAUUUAAUCCAGAUUCCAUCAUCAGAAUACAUUCAUAAAGAUCAUCCAAAGAGCAUCAAACAUCUCCCAUGUAACAUCUUACAUCUUCUAGGUGAUAGAACAAAGGCUUUUGCUUUGGUUGGCUAACUACAUCAUCUCCUCAAUACAUUUGUCUUGUCCACUCAUGUCAUCCUUAAUUGUGUUUAGAAAUGUGUGUUCCCUGAGCAGUGCGCUUCCUUGGCAGCGUGUCCUCACUUCACUCUGCGCGUGUUACUGUCUCCCUCCAGCAAGCAACGCAGCAUCACCACGGGAGAAGGUGGAUGACAAGCAGGCUAACCAACAGCUCGAGAAGCUAAUUAAAGAGUGGUGUUACACACAUUUAGAAAAAGGACAAAUGCUUUGUGUUUAUGAGUAAGCGUCACUCAACUUAAAUCAUUAAACAUUCAUUUUACAUUGUUCAUUCUGUGCACAUGACAUCUGUUGUACUUCUCUAUUCCUCCUGUCUCUCUUCCAAAGGUUUCUUCUUUUUGUUCUCCCUGUUAAAGGUUUCUUUUUGUUCUGGGAUGCUUUUCCUGUGCCGAUGUGCGUACGGAUUUUAAAGCCCUCUGAGGCAAAUUUGGCAUUUGUUGCUGUUCAGAAUAGAUUGAAUUGGGUUGACAUCAAACAUUGAAAUGUGUUAAUUUGCCAAAAUAUAGUACAUAUGUCAUGUCUUGUAAAGAACUCUUCUCUGUGGCUAACAUUGAAUGAGAUAUUUUUUAUUUUUUAUAUUUUCGACCCACUGAAAACACACUUUCUCUCUUCAAGAUAGCCCUGCCCAAAAGCUUUACUCUCUGAAUCGGGGCAGUCUUUUACUAAAUUAACAUUAAUGAGCGACGACCCCUGGCUCCUCAUCAAACUACUGCACAGGUUGAAGUUGUUUUGCACCUGCAGCAUCGUCACUUCUGGCAAAAACAAAAAAGCUAAAUAAAGUUCCCGUCAAUGUUCAGAUGCAACGUGUAGAACUGAAAAAAAGUUGUUACCGUCAAGAAAGUUGUAUUAAACUCUUUUAUUUCCGUACUGGUUGUGCUAUAUUUACUUUUACCUCAGCUGUGACUUUGACAUGUUGCUCUGCCUACAGGUAUGGUGAUGUGCUGAUUCAGGGACGAGACGGAGGCCACAACACAAACUAUCUGUGCCUAUCUUCAGUUUUCAUGCUGGGAACGACCUUGUGUUCAUCCUUUUCGUCAAAUACGUUGAAGCUAAAGAAUUCCAUUGGCGGCUUUAGAAUCCAUUUCCACAGUGUUGAGAUCCAUCUUGUGUUGAGAGCCUCUGUUCCCUCAUUCCAGUGACCCCCUCCCCUGCAACUAUCGCUUAGAGACAGUGCAGAAUAUAGGGGGAUAUUCAAAUUCAAUCCAGAUUCCACACAUCAAAAGAAUGUUCAAGCAGGUAAUGUAAAAAAUAAAGAAAACCUCUGAGAUCUUAGAAAUGAGUUCAAUCUGGAAAAACGUAUAAAAGAAGCUGUAUCGUCCAAAAAAAAAGUCCUACCACCCACAACCAAUGUCAAGUCAAAUGGACUCCAGGCGCACUGUGAGGUCGGAUGUGAGGGUUCUCUUGGUGGUGGAUGGAUGAAGACGAUGAAGAUGUGGCGGCAGACCGGACAGUACUUCUGGUUCCAGUGAUGGAGCCAUCCAAAAAAACAGCCAGGAUAUCAAAUGUUCAAAGGUUUUAUCAUCUUUCCCGAAACCCCCAACGUUAAAUGGCGCAUGCUUCGAAUUAAAGUUGUUAAUUUUUUGAUGAAUCAUAGGUUUUCUGCUUACUCUUAACUACCUUCAUUAAAACAAUCGGUGGAGAAAACAAAGAUCGUCUAUAAAGAGACAGAUGAUCACUUAAAUAAAUAUCUGUGCCUGGAAUGACAAAGAUUGACUAUUAAGGAAAAGAUGAACUAUUUUCCUGGUUAAACAGGGAAAAUGUUACACCUUAUUUAAUUUACAUAUGAACAGUAACACAUUUUCAAACCCUGGUAACACCAGCAUCAAACAAAUCCAUGAAGCUUUUGCUGGUGUGCGAGCUGCCGUUUGGUAACUCUGGAAAAAGAAGCAGUUGUUACAUUUGGUUCUUUCAAACCGUCCCUCUCCGUGAGAGAGGGUUGCAUUGAUCCUGGUUUCCUGAGUCUAAAUCCUCAAAAUGAUCCGCGUCAUGUUGGCCUACUUCAUCAACUUGUUUGGUCGCAACGCACAACGGAAUCACUUUCUACACGAUGACGGCAAUGUCACAAACAAGUAUUUAACAACAAAUGUUCCUGAGGAUUUCUCUGCGUCGAUGUCAAGAUUCUGUGACGCGCUGUGAGGCCUUCACUGCCAGUUGCUGUCAGAAAGUGCAAAGUGUUUUCCCCCAGCAGACGAGCACGUGGCAGUUAGGAGAGGAGUCGGCCAGUGUCUGCUGUGUUGACGGGUGAGGGGGAGAGCUGAAAAGUUGCAACUGAAUCUACGCUACUCAUAUAAAAUUAGGGCUGUCAACAUAAACGUGAUUAAUGCAACAAAAUAUUUUAGCUUAGUUAGCGUAGCUUUGUUGACAGUGGAAACAAAACAGCCGCCUGCUGCAGUCGGUUACAUCGGAGAAAGCAAGACGGUGGCUUCUUUGCAUUGGAAGUAAAACGAACAGGGGCGACAUACAGCGGAGAACUGUGCAGAGAAAUUCCUCCAUAUGUUAAACACAAGCACCGCUAUGAUAAACUAGCUGUUUGUUUAAGCUAGCUGGAAGAGUUGCUAGUUCGACAUGUUCCAAUUUAAUUUCAAUUCUGCCUCCAAGAUGAUCAAAUGUGUGUAGUUUUGUGUUAAACAUAAACAAUUAAACAACAGUGUCUAAAAUACACGUUUUCUAGUGUGAUUACUCAUUAUUUAUAAUAGUAAGUCUUUAGAAAUAAAACAAACAUUCAUUAAACAACUUUUAUUAAUAGCCAUUAAUCGAGAAUAUGAAUUUCAAAAUGUGCAAUUAAUUAGUUAUCUAUCCAUUUAUUGACAGCCCUAUAUGAAAUACUUUCUCACACACAAUUCCACACUGUGAAAGUACUCCUGGUUUCAAAAUUGUACAAAAUAUAUGUAAAAAAGCUUGAAAUAUUCUGUAAGUACCAAAGUAAGAUAAAAAAAACAUCAUGCAGAAUAUUUUUUAUUUUCAUGUAACAUAUUUGUAACUAACCGAGUUUGUGAGUAUUGGAGAAGGUUUUGCGUUUGGCCUUUAUUAUAUGUUUUUUAGAUGAUUUUGUUGUGCAUUUCCUGUUUCGAGUUUGAUUUAUUUUGAAGGCAGGGCUUAGGUAAAAAAUGGAAGUCAGUUGGAAAAGGAAUAGAAAAAACUGUGGUCAGUUAACGGACAGUUACGGUAUUAGUGCCUCCUCCCUUACGGUUGUUUGUGUGAUUUAAAAAAAUAAAUUGUACAAUCAAGCAGUAAAGCGUCAGACGAUCUGUCGGGAGGGAUAUGCUACAAUAUGUCAAAUAAACAGGUGAUUGUAUAACCAUAGCUAUUAUUCAAAGAGUAAAAGUUGAGUUAAUUUCAGAUAUCUGAUGAACUGCUUUAUAAUACUGGAUCAUGAGUAUAUUGUAUAUUUACUCUAGAAGGUAAUUAGAAACUUCGAUAAAACAAAAUUAAAAAUAAAAUACAUGAAGUGGAGUGGAGGGUAGAAACGUACCUCAAGAUGUUGGAUUCAGUAAAUGUGCGUUAUGGUAUUUUUUAGCUUUCUGGCUCCUCCCCUAAACCCAUUGGUUUGACACUGUCGUCUUGAAGCCAAACGCCCUGCUCAGAAAAUCUCCCCGCUCCAAACAUAGUCAUAGAGCUUACGCAAAAUGACACCAACAUUGUUGUCAUGAUCAUGUCUUCGCUGUCAUUCCUCCCAGUGAUUGUCGUAGGGUCGUAAGUCCUUCUCUGUUGAUAGCAUGGCGGCGGCAUAAGUAUUUUUUGGAGAGAUAUGGUUAUUUGGAACUGUGGCAGGCAUAGCGAGGUCAUGUUAGACAUUUCAUAUGGUCUGUUGAUUUCCUAAGAACAGAUAAUGACCAAAAAGUGCACGGCCUUGUGUCACAUAAAUAUGAAUUGUGCAAAGUCUUGAGAGCAACUUAGGCCCCACUGAGGUGUGAAUAAUAUCAGUUUGCAUUUGUAAACCAGAAAUGUAUUUCCCUUUGUUCGUCCCCUCACCAUCUGGUUACCAAAAAUGGGGAUAAGACCUCUGCUCUCAGGAUGUGGGGGAAAAGGUGUGCACACUGCAGGCUGCAUGAAUGCUCAUCCCAAUCAUCUUGUUUUCCUCUAAAGCUCAGGCAAAGAUCCUUGUCUUUGAUUUUCACCUGAGUGAGAAGAUUUCUCUCACAACUUUCUGUGUUUGCCUGGAUUUGUUUUCCCUUUUCCACAGUCUGCACUAUGACGUAACAAAGAGACGAGAGAGGAGGGGAUCUGAUGAGAGUAGGCAGAGGGCAGGCAGGAUUGAGGCAGAUAGACAGAGAGACACGACCUGUAGAUCCCAACAGUCAGCCCGGGUGAGGGUCCAUCCAAGCAGCCAGUGUCCAUCUGUCCACCAGAUCUCGUUUGAUGUCUCCUGCUGGCUUUCUCUACAUAUAGACUACAUGAAUAACUAAUCAAACCAUUAUUCGCAUCUGCUUCCUCUCUUUGAUGUCAUCAUUGUUUAGGUGUGUUGUGGACUUAUUGGACUAAAGAGUCUAGUUUGUGUGUGGUAUUAGUGAGAUAGUGUGUGUGUGUCUACGACUAAUUAUGUGAAAAACUACGCAACACAAGAUGAGAAAAAAAUAGGGGUGUAACAAUUCAUUUUAACAACGAUUCGAUUCGAAUCGCAAUUCAUGCGAAGAAUUUCAUUUUCAAUGUAAACAUUACACAAUAAUUAAAAAAAUGUUUGGAUCAAUUCACAGAACCCCGGAUUUUCAACCACAUUGUAGGGUCGCAUGUCUUUACAGAUAAACUUGGCAAUUGUUACUGUGAUGUUGAGUUUAGUGCUGGCGGCCUGAGGUGUCUGCAGAGCUGGAGUUACCUGCUGCUGCUGCUGCAGCGGUAACGCUGCUAGAGGUCCUGACUGUCGGCGUUGUUUAAUCCCACGGCGCCUUAGUAGAUGGCCGGAAAGAUUCGUCGUGUUUCCGUGUUUUUUUAUUUGUCUUCUACAUAUUCUACAAACAGCGAGCGACUUAUUUAGAACACCUCCGUGUUUGCAAAAGCCAAAAUGUUUCCACACGCUGGAUCGAUAAGUUGGUUUGUAAAUGUCUCGCUCGCAGUCGUCUCCCCCACGCUGUGUUUUGUUGUUGUUUCGCGCGGCUGCCGCUGCGUACUGAUGACGUCACAGACAGACAGACUGAAUCGAGAAUCUGAACGUUUAACGUGUCUAAAGUGCUAAAAAACAAACACACACACACACACACAUCCAUACCGUUUUUGUACUCAAAUCCAAUGUGCAGUUUCCAAGUAUCGAUACAAUCGAUUAUGUACCAUUUCAAUCGAUUUGUAAUCAAUAUAUGUCGUCCGGAAUGCCGAUUUGUGGAGCACAGAUCAAUUCAGUUGGAUGGCAGGAAUAUAAAUCGAUUAAUCGAUUCAGUGAAUGAAUCGUUACACCCCUAGAAAAAAGGUAAUCAAACUAUCCAAACCGGAUAACAGCCCAAAAACAUUUUAUUUAUUUAGGAUAUGUUUUUUCACAUUCCGAUUCUAAUGUCUAUAUAUUCCGACAAAUAAAGUGCGCUCUUUCAAAUAUUGAAAGAGCGCACUUGUAUUACCAUGCUAUUAUAUUGUCAUUAUUUUAUCAGUGGCAUAAAAUGGUCUGAAAAUUGCCAUAAUAUUGUUUAUCACAAUUAAUGUUGGUGCAAUAAUCGCACAACACAAAUUUAAAAUUGUGACAGCCCUAUUGUUGGCCUUAACACCUCUCCCACUUCUUGGUUGGCCAACCUCAGCAGACUGACAUGUGAUAGUCUGAAGCUUUAUGCACUUCAUCCGGGCCCCCAGACCCUUAAAUGUGGUUGUUUUGCUCCCCCUGUCUCUAUGUUCCCUAACCCUCUUCCAGUUUGAUCACUGGAAGAUGUACACCUGCUUGUCCUCAGUGUGACAUAAUGGACUGAGCAAUCUGGAUUAUCGUUCUUGUGGUUUGAAUGCUUUUUAAAGUGUGAUGCCCUUUUUGCUAGAUCCAGUGUGGUUUUUGCUAGAUAUUUGGAACCUAAUAGCACAUGUCUCCACUUGAGUUCGUCCUUUGUCAUUUCGGUGAAUAUAGCUGCAUUAGCGGGUGUAGGAGUCAUGCAUUCACACCCUUGGCUGCACUGGUUGAUCUCAACAGGAGACCAGUUUGUUGCCUUCCUUAAUGUGGGAAAGACUGUAAGUGAAGACAAUGUCCUGAGACCGUUUAAUUGUUUCCAGAAGGUCUCUGGUUGAUUUAUGGUUCUUGUAGAGUCAUUGCAGCGGUUCCCCCCACCAGCAUCUGUUUUAAAACCAGUGUUGGGACUAAUUACUACUUGUGAUUAAUUAAAUAGGUCUGGGGAGCUUGCAAUCUCUUCUUGUCACUAUCUUUUAUUUUACCCUCUGUAUUUCCGUACAUCUAACCGUGUUUUUGUCUUCUGGAUUGGUAAUAUACUUUACCAUGGCUGGGGAUGUAAAACAUAGUAGUACCAUGUUUCAAGUUGUAUAUGAUUACUCACCUUGCCUUAUUUAAAUAUAAUAUAUACCUAUUAUAUUGUUUAUAUAUAUUAUAUAAACAAGGCUUUAAAUAAUAUUUAAAGCCUUGUUUAUAGAGAACCUGUACUUUGAAGAAAGGUUUGGGAUUUGCAAGGUCUUUUAAGACGUAACACAGGCUUUAAAUAUUAUGACAGUGGUUUACUUUAUACCGAGGUAGAGCACCAUGAUAAUUGUUAAAAAGCAAUAUUUCUCAUCAAACAAAGCUUAAAUUGCAUAAAUUGUUCAAUAAGAUUACUCAAAUAAAAAUAUGUAAGUUAAGCUAAAAGAAAAACAGUUUAAACCUCUGUUGUACAGUUUAACCCUCUUAUUUGCUGGUGCACUAAAACAAAUCCAAAAUGAUCAUUUUUAGGGAGAACAAUCUGCACUUGGUUCCAUUUGCUUCAAGGUAUAGUUUGGGUGUCUUGAAAUGGUGUUCAACACCAUAUCAACACCAAGUACUUUACUAUAAAUAUUCAGUGUGUGCUACAGUAAAGGCAGUUGGCAUGCCCCCAGUAUUGCAAAAUGGGCUGAUGUACAGAUACGAGAGCAAAGCAGUAUCUCUCUGUGGACACAUGUAUCAGUAACCCCAAUUUUACCCCCCUGAAAUUCAACAUACUUUUUAAAUGGACAAUAUAUUCAGGUUAUAUUCCCUGCUUUAUAUUUUCUCUCAGACAGACCUUUCUGAAGGGAAACUGAACGAAAAUGAAAUGUAUGUUUUCCGCUUUUAAGGCCGAAAGACUCCGUUGAGAAAACAUCCCGGAUAUGUUUUACUUCCAGUUUAGCUACAUGUUGGAAAAUAUUCUAAAUACAGCUACACUUAAAAGUGAGUCUAUUUCUUCGAUGGGUCAUUCUUUGAGGUGCCGAAAAUAGAUCUGUCUGCUGCCCCCCUUCACAGCAGUGCAUUGCUUUGCUCCGAUGCUAGUGUCUCUCCGAACAUGCUGUACGUAAUACACUGACCAUGAUUAAGUACCUCAUACAUCUUCAAAACACCCCAAAUGUAAAUUUAAUGGUAUCUUUCAUUAAAAAUAGGUAUUAUUGAACAAUAUGGACAUAAAUACAAACAUUGCCAAUAAGGAAUACACAACAAAAGUGUAACUUGGCAGAGUGCAUACCAACAUACAUGCUGAGAAGCCACAGCAUGGUUUACACGUCACACCGGACACUGGAGUUGUCGUAGGAAUGAGUGCUGAGCCUCCUUUGGAUAGAGACGCUCCAGUUCAUCCCCUCCAACUGUGACUUCUCCUCAGAUGAAAACAAAGAUUUUAACUAUCAAGUCAUACGGGUGUCUUUUUCAUCAAAUGAUUAAUUUCUUAAAAAUUCAAUCAAAUAUUUAUUUGCUUCUGCUACUCACCUUGGAAAUACCCAGGGCAACAGGAAAGAAGUUUCAUAUAAAUCCAGUCAGAUUGAGAAACAUCUUGAGAACACGACGUUCCCUUUAUUGUUUAACAACAUGAAGGAAAGGAAUUCCAAAGUCAUUCACAACAACUAAUGAAAUCUCUUCAGGUGAAAAUAAUUCCGAUCUGGCUUUCUUUGGAGCUGGGGUUAAAUGGAGAGAUUCCAUCAUGUAUGACCUAGUUAACUAUCAAGUAAUGGGAGUCAACAGGGCCAAGCGUUUGACAAUUUAUUCCAGGAUAAAGGAUGGAGAGAGAAAGGAACUUUUGAGUUUUAUGUCAGCCUUUCAGGUGUACUGUGGAAGAAGAAGUCAUUAGCUGUCCAAUUGAUUAACCUAUUUCUCAGCUCAAGCUCAUUAACACUAUAUAAUUUCACACAAUACUUGCCACCCAAAAGAAUACCAGGCUGUGUAAGAUUUAUAACUAACUAUAUGACUUAUAUAAAGUUCUUGGAGGGAAAUAAACCGAAACAAAUAGUCUGCCAGGCUUCCUCGAUGUAUAGCAGCCUCCUCUGUGGCUGAGUCUAUGUGGUGCAACGGAAGACUUUGGCACCCCAACUUGACAGCAGAAUGGUUUUCAGAUCAAGUGCUACCCUGUUGCUUAAUUGUAUAUCACUAGUGCUGCUACAUAGUUACUUAAACAUACCUCGUUACGACAGUAGCCCAUGCAAAUAUUUUGCCAAUGUCUAAACACACAACACAAAUUGGAUCUCUUGGAUAUAAGAGUUUGGAAAGGCUGUCUUAAGGAUUGGAUUUGAGGAUCAACUCCUGUUAUCAGAAACUUAUGCAUUCCUUCUUGGACCAUUUUAUGUUACCUCCAAACAAAGCAACGCAUUAGGUCUUUGUGUUUUCCAUCUAUCCUGAACCUAUAAAUACAAUAUCUCGGAGGGAGGGAAUUUUUUCGAAUUUGGCACAAACAUCGAAGAACUGGAUCCACAAGUCAGACUGAACUUCAGUCCCGAAGUUUAUUUUAACACACAGGUUGAUGGAGGUUGAUACUGGGGAGGCUGGAUGCUGGAGCUCCGGACGGGAACUGGCGAGGCAGGGAGAAGCACUGGUCAAGGCGGAGGAGCAGGACACAGAAUAAAACUGGGGAAGAAGCAGACGGCUGGAAGUUAAAGCCUGGACAGCAAUACCAGUACUAAUAGUUACGCAACAAAAUACUAUUCAAAAGAACAGCAGCCAGGAAGCAGAUUACCACAAGAGUAACUGACAAACUGGCAAAGACUGGAAGAUCAGACCGUGCUUAAAUACUGGAGGCGAGUAGAGGCAAGAAGAUCAGCAGCAGGUGGUAGGAAUUGCAAGAAGAUCCCAACUAGACCAGCUGACAACCAGGAGGGGAAGAAACUCAAAAGACAGACAGACCCAACAGAAAGCAAAAGGCCUAGCAACAAAAAAACCUGUAUAAAUACCUGUUCACCGAUUAUGUCAAAUGUAAAUGUAGAUAGUACAUCUGAAUUCUGCACAUUUCAAACUAUCACAGAUAGGAAUCAUGUACUGUUAGUAUUAUAUUAAAAACAAUCAUGUUUUGUAUCUUAAACAACCCUUUCUGGAAGAACAUCGUGAAGGCAACGGUACCCAUGUGCAGGGAACCCAGUAAAACAAGUACAGAGUGGCUCUGAGUAAAUGUACUAUGUUCUCAGAAGGAUCUAUCCACCACUACUUUACCAAAGUAGUUUGCUCUUGAUCUUGCUGGUGGAACCUUUAUCAGGUUGAGAUUCUCUCUCAGUUCUAAAUUGGUCUAGCGUUUUUUUCUAUGUCCUUUAAAGACUCAACCUAAGGCGUAAACUUAGCAAAAGAUGUGUAUUUUCAAAAAGAAGCGCAGCAGUGGGGAUGAAGCCUGGUUUGCAGCAACGAUGAAUCUCCAUGACAUUAGAAAAAGCCAAUCCGAAAACCAUUCUGAUACUGUUUUGAAUGCCUACUGAAAAUAAAGGCCUCCAUCCCCUAUCAGCAGAUCUUGUUUGAGAUGUAUUUUGACAAUGUGUCAGCCUUUGCUGUCCCGGAUUUAAUUGCUGUUUUGGAUACAGCAGAUCAUCAGAUUUUAAUGCAGAGCCUAAAAAAGAUUGUUGGUCUCUCAAGACUUGGGUAGAUUGCUUUAAAUCUUUCAUGUCCUGAAGCCCUUUCCCAGUCUAGGGAACGAGUGUGUUUUUCUCAGGCUAUUAAUAACAUAUGAGUGAUCUCAACAGGUCCCAUGCUGCCUUUGGGGCUCCUUUCAUUAUAUUUGCUCCCAUCAGAGAAACGGUUCAAAUGAAACAAUGUUAAUUUUAGAGCCUACACCUCUGUGUGUGUAGAUCAAUAUGGACAGAUUGGUUAUAAAAUCACUCAUCAUGCUGUCAGUCCUUUACUGCAAGAAGGUUGUUUCUUUCAUGUCCAAAUUGGUUUAAAUGUCAGCACAAUCCCUUGUGUACUCUCUACAGGGGACCUUGGUUACACGGCUUAAAUGUUUUCCAUCUUCUUGCUCUAUAAUGCUAUUACCUUACCUUCCUUUGCUCUUUGCUAAUACCAAAAAAGAAUACAUGGUAUUAGAAUAACUUCAUACCUCGACACUAAAGGAGGGUGUGGCUGCUAUUACACCGCAGCGUGGUGGUGUGAUGGCUGGCACUUGUGAUGGCCCGGAUGUCCUCACAUCUGGGCCCAUGUUUCCUCUCCGUCCCCAGUCUGCAUAUUCCCACACUUCCUCUAGCAGUCAAAAAAAACAGGCAGCUUGUUUAAAACUGACUACUAAUCUUCCGCUGGUGUGAAUAUGAAAAUUAUUGGUUGUUUGUCUUUAUAUGUUUGCCCUGCAAUGUCAAUAUUCAGUGACCCUGAGCAGGUAGAGUGGUUAAAGCUUGGGUCAAUAUUGACGGAGGAGAGUGUUCCUCUCCUUGCAAGGGGCACUGAUGCUGAACCCUGAACUCAGGUAGAGCCCAAGUGGCUGUGUAAAGGGGAACCGUAUGUACAGUAUGUAUUGACCUUGCCCUUUGAGGGCUCGGGCGUAACUCUGCGGCCUAGCACAGCGUUUCUCGUAAAGUUAGUAGUCGUGUGAGAGGAGAGGAAUAGUCGAUGCUGUUGUGCCCAGUUCUGGCCAUCGGAGCCUCUGUAGAGGCCAACAGGCAUUGGAACAGCUCUUUGUCUGUAAUGGCAGUCUGAAGGGAACCUGUGCUUUUUCCAAACAAAUUGUUUCUGCAUAUUUGCUGAAAGAACGUGCCCUGCCAUCUUUAUGAGCUAGGUGAUUGGGAUUCCUCAUGACUCGGUUGAUAAAAGUCAUUCGUGUUCAGCACUGCCUCUGGCAUUCAGUAACAAUGAAAUAGAUUGAAUCUCGCAUAUGUAACUACAGCUCUAUAAAUCCCAGUGUUCUUCAAUCACAAUUUCCUGAACUGGCACAAAGAUUCUGAAGGGAGGUUAACCCAUUUCAUCUCAAAGAUAUGAAAAUAUUUUAAUGUCAUUUGCAAUAAACAAUCAUUAUUUCACUGUUUUAUUUUCAUGAAAAAGCAGGUGUUUGGUUAACCUGUAGAAUACUAUGUAAACAUGUGUUGAUAUGUGGAUUCAACCCGCUCAUUUCCUGCAGAGAACCACAGUUUCAGACCUGGAGGUAGUAAGACUCAAGCCGACCGAUUCACACUGUGCUGCCAAGUCCAAGAUGAAGGUCACGAUUGGAGGGUUUUGCAAAUAAAUCCCAGUAGAUCAGCAGUUCUGAAAUGCUAACCCAUCUGGCACUAGCAACUGUUUCAGUUAAAAGUCACCUUUCUUUCACACUUUUUAUACUUGGUUUGAACUCCAGCAGAUUGCCUUGACUAUAUCGACAUGCUAAAAUACCAUUAGCUGAUCAAUUUUUUUUGCUAACAAGCAUUUGUAACUGAUGAAGUUGGGGUAUUGGGGUAUUUGGAAAGAGAGAAGGGGAAACUCUGGUUUCCUCCAGAGCUGGAAUCAAUGUAAAAGUAGACAAAAGGAUAGCGUAGACUUGGGUAGAACCAGAACUGCGUAUGUACUGUACAAAAGUAUUUCAUAACACCAUCCUCUCAUCAUGGUGGACGUUCAAGGACAUUAACAGCUAUGGUCAUGUGACCAUCUAUACUAAACGUGUGACUGCACAUAUGUCAUUGAGACCCUUAAUUAUUUCAAUAUAUAUCCUAUAUAUAUAUAUUGAUAUUCCAUUCAGUAAAAGCACUGAAAAGUGGUUUACAGUCACUUUGUGAAUAAAUACAUCUGGCACUCAUCCAGGAUUUAUUGAACUUUAAUUACAUCCGUAACUCUCGUUAUCAUUGUCCUCCUCAUAACCACCACAAAAAACUUCCCAUGAAGGUGAAUCGAAAAAGUCCUUCAGAGCCACAUCAGCCUUACCUUGUCACUGUGUGGUCUGUUGAUGGGCAAGAGGCGCCCCCAAGGCGAGGGGGAGGUGAUGACCUGCAUGCUUCCUUGGUGCUGGUAUGAAAUCUAUUCAGUAUUUUAUGGUCUGUGGGGUUGCAUGUGACAUAUGGAGUGAAUGUUGACCGAGUGGACGUUCAAAGGCUAGUCACCACUUCACUGCUAUGGCGACAGCACUCUCAUGGUAGAUAGUAAGGCCUAAUGCUAAAGGCUAAUAACUCAGUGGCCUUACCUCAAAGUAUUACAUUUAUAUUGAUGUGCUCGUCUACGAAUACUUCCCAAUCUCCUCCCUUGUACUUUCCGCUCUCCUUGUCCGCCCACAUUGUCUGGUUCAAAGCGUCGUGGAGCUAGUGCUAUUAGUCACGUCUCUGUAAACACUCCUGGUAUUCCCUCUGAUCACUGACCAUUUACCCAUCUCGUUGGGGAAGAUUCCCCAUGAUGAUCGAGGGGAGGACGAGUGUGUGAGUUCUCAUCCUGGGGCGGCGCUUGUUUGAAACCUUGGGUCUCUCCUCCAGCAGCAAACUAAUCCUUGGUGUAAAGAAUCAGGUAAAAAUCAUGUAAAAACCAUGGACCACGGUGGUACAGUACAGCCACCACAGGUCAAAUGUCAAUGGUACACAUAAAUCUUCAAAAAUAAAUUAAAACUAAAAAACAUAAGACAUAAGACAGUGAGCAGGAGCUGAUAGAGUGUGGCCACUUGAACUAAGUCAUAUUUAAACUUUGAAUUCAGUUAAUUUUAAUUUAUUAUCAGAUUUAUUUAUUAAAACAUAAUUUUGCGCUAAAUUAUAUCUACUCUGUCAGCCUUUUAAAGGUGGCCAUUUUUUAUGAACUCAAAUAUAAGCACCAUGAUGCAUAAUAUCAUUAUAAGGAAUUUAUUAUGAACCGCUUCAGAAAAGUUGUCUGACGUCACACAACAAAUACAAAGUAAUUUUGGUUUAUCAGUGAUAAUGGUGCCAAAAUAUAUUUCUGUCACAGUCAAAAUUAGCUCAGUUCCAUUAGUGAGUAUUGUCAGAAUUUUGCCAAACAACACUGAUUGCUCAGACUCCAAUUGACCUUUGACCAACAGAAUCUGAAGCUGCAGUGAGAACUGUAUAGGGAGGGUGGGUGAGUGAUGGGAGGUGGACGUUAUUGAUUAAGUCCUAGCUCUGUUAUCAUACACUCUAGGGCUACCUGAGCAGGAAGGAAACGGAGACAGGCUCUAGGGGGGAAACAUUCUUAUAAGCUCCUUGUGACAUUUUGAUUCCUUUGUUGUGGCGCUGCACUGAUAAGUCAACGUUAUUACUGGCUUUCUUUAGCGCCGGGAAAGGCGGCCGGCUGAAACUUGCUGACAACAGGGACAGCGAUACUGUGAACAUGAAAACUUUAUUGUGGUCUAUUAAAGCUGUAAAUCACAGGUCUCUGCCUGUAUGAAGGACACAGAGAACUGUGCCACAUGGUGCAGAGCACCAGAUCCUGGUCUCCAUGGGGGCUUGGGACAGGCUCGGUUUACCCAGUGCUGAAGAAUCCUUGGGGCUGUGGACACAAGCACCGUGUCUUGUAUUAUUUUCUUUCAGCUUAAGGUUAUUAACCCCAAAAGCAAAUUACAUCACGAUAGUACAUGUUUUCCCGUUUUAUUUACCUACCACAGCCCUUAGCGGGGUGACUAAUAGGCCCCAGGUUUGUAGGUUGUCUUGAGGGACAUAUGGUAGAUUUGCAUGGGUAGCGAGCCGAGAGUUAAACAUGACCGCAAUUCUGGAGGGACCCGUGUCCCACUAAAGCAGGCUUCUGAGUCAUUCUGAGCUGCAGCGCUCUGCCGUAUGAAGAGAAGGAAGGGGGCAGUCCGAGGGGAGUGAUCUCCUCUCCACUUGGACAGCUGCUGUGGAUAUCAGAAUCCCACCAGUUGGCCUGAUUUAGAACAUUCUGCCACCUGGGGAAAAAAAAAUGAUGCAGUCCUUACAGUGAUAGGCCUCACUGGGAUAGUCGCUCUUGGUGUCCCACCAGUUACUUUGAGCAAAGAAACAGGCCAAAAGAGAUUCUUCUUUGUGUAAUGUUUUAUUUUGUAGCUUCCUGCCUGACCCUGAUGGUUUCCUCCUGUAUCCAAUCACCUGCACCUUUACAGUGUAUUUAAACCAUAUGUGUCUCUUGUUUCUUGUCGGUUCAUUGAAUGCCUUUGUGAUGAGUCUGAAUGUGUUUUGUUUGCUCCUGGCUUGAUCCCCGGUUUGGCCCUAGGCAUCUCUGAUUUGGAAUGUCAAUAAAGUUUAACCCUGUAAUUGAGUCCUGCUUCGCCACGCUGCCGCUGUGACAUAAACACAUAUACUUGCACAUAUCCAAACCGCUCUGAUUCAUAAACAAAAACUUUUUUCCACCCGUUGCUUAAUUUCAGUUAUGUUGAAUUUUGGUUUCACAGAUGACAUUAACUUUGGUCUCCUCGGUGAAAAUCCAGUGUUGGUUUGACCAGUCCUUUGCCCACGCCAGCUUUGUCAACUUUACUGCUACAUCACCUGACUAUAUCGUUCUAAACGUCUGAUAACCUCGCUAAAGUCGAUAAUGUUAUCCAGACCAGGACCUAAAGCUAAAACAGACCGUUGUGAUUCAACUCGACGGGCACUUUUUGACUAGCCCAAUUUUGGAAGUGGUUUAAAGCACAGACCAAUUGCAUUUGAGUUAAGCCAUCCCACGUGAUACCACUGGACCAAUCCAGUCUUCACAUUCCAGGCUGGAUGGUAUCGUCUCAAUACUGCAGACAGAUUAGAGAGAUUGCGGCAAAUUACAAAUAAAAAGACAGAAGAAAAACAAAGUACCGAAAUUUGAGAAUAACACUAGUGAGAUGGAGAAAGCGAGGGAAAGGGCCGGUGACAAAAAUAACAUAAAAAAUGGCGCUCUCCAAAAAGACAAAGUGGAGAGUGAAAGAAGAAAAUACUCUAGAAUGAACAGACUGGUUUCUCUUCUAGUGUGUGUCAUAUGGUUAAAAACCAUAGCAAACGCCAUCACGAGGCACUAUAAUAUAUACACAUAUACUUAUUUAUAUUUUAUUUUAUUUUGAAAUACAGCCCUACUUUUAUUUAGUUAUUGAGAGAACAUUAUUUAUAUUUGCAGUCAAAUAUAUAUGUUCAGUUUCGUCUCAAAGAGUUUUUGAAUCAUACUCAAUUCAUCUGAUUUGUCAAUCAUAUAUUAAAUAAAUGCAGAUGUCGAUGCAACUCUAUCUCGCUAUAUUUAAUCACACUAAAUAGUUACAUUAUGAUCUUCCGGACCUUUGUUUCUAGAAAUUGUGUCUAAUUGGACCUCUCUACAUUUCAGUUGAAUACCCCUGCCCUAGAGGCUGACUCGUCAUAUCAGACCUUGAGCGCUGCGACAAAGCGUUGCUAUGGAAACACGAGCAGACCUAUGAACACACAUAUCUUCAUCACAUACCCGUAAAUUCAGUCUUUAAAACUUUUAACUAAAUGCAGCCUGAUUCAUCACUGUCAUCUUUUCAUUGCUAAAGGACUAUAGAUGCAGAGUCCAGAGUUGAGGCGUUUGUCUUAAAGGCUUGAAUAGAGACGCUAAAUCCUUUCCCAGCCUCUGGUUGGUCCUCAUAUACAUGGGAAUACAUUGCUUAAGGGUCAUUGGGACAGCUCACACACACGUUACCACAUAACGCCCCGGGGCUGAUGGAGUGUUUGGGAGUAUCAGCCGUGUGUUUACUUGUGUUUCCCGGUCAGGGGUGAGAGGAUCAGAAAACACCCUUGAGGGGUGUGAGGGUUGUGGGGGUUGUGGGGGUUGGUGUGGGCAGCAAUCGCAAGUUAAUGUUUCACAUCCAACAGAUUAGGACCAAGCCGCCAGACGCCGAGUCCAAGCAGACACCCGGGAGUGAAGGGUAAUGGAUCAGAGAAAUGAGUCCACGCUCGGUUCGGGAAGGAGAGGCACGUCAAACCACAGCAAGCCUCUCACAGAGCCCUCAUUAGCGGGCAGCUGCUCCACCACCACCGCUGUCCCGGAAGCUUUACAGAGAAGACACAUUUGAAAGUAUGGAAGAAGUAUAGAAGUUAAGAGUUAGAAUGGACAUAUCUAUCUAAUGGCUACGACAAAGUAACAUAAACACUGACUUGAUAUGCAAUAAUGUAACUGAAACAAAUGAGAUGGAAACACUUUUAUUUGAAAUGAUUAACCAACCCCAAAGGUGAGCAUCUCUUACCAGACAUUUUGAAUCCAUCUUGUAUUGUCAUAUUAGCAAGUACUGUGCCACCGGGGGCGGGAUUAGACCCGCCUCACUCACAAAACUGUGCACUGACCAGCAGUGGCCCGGAGGCCUGAAAUGAUUGCUCUGUCCUUUAAUGUAUUUAGGCUUUAAGGUUGAGAAAUGCUCUCACAUUUUGUUUUAUUUAGAUCUUUAACAGGCUGAUAUUUAAUGUUUUAUUUAUUUACGUACGUGCACUAUAACACAGGCUUAACAACUUGUCAGUUCAAAGAAGAAUACUGAUUCUGUAUUAAAACAAACCCAACAUCAAAAGAUCAAAUGCGUGACAGGGGGAAACCGAUCUAAAUAAUUAAAAGAGCCAUGCUUUAUUCCUGGCUGCCUUGAGGCUUCAGUCAAACAGAACAGUUCCACACUUGACAACGUGAGGCUCUUCAUGUCUUUUGAAACAAAGCCUGUUUGAAUAAACUUUGCACUAUCCUGUAAGAGGAAUGACAUUAGGCCCGACAGCCAUUAAUGCCUUCCUGUUUUUCUCUUGUGUAAAGCAGUCAGGCCAAGUACACAUUUCUAGAAGAUGGAUAUGUGGAUCUUCUGAGGAGCAGCACCCGAGCAUCAGGUGGAUCUCAUGCGAGGAGUCGUGCAGCUCCUACAGGCCCUUUGUAUGUGUGAUGGUGAUGUGUCGCUACAUUGUGACAGCAGCUAUUAACCAGUCGUGUGGACAUUACCCAGCAUCAGUGGGCUGUGUGCCCUUUUCUGGCCAUGAUACUGGUUCAUCAGCUGGAACUCUGUUGUAAGCAUGUACAUACAGAACAAAAUGGUUGCUUAAGAAGAAGAACAAACGUUAAUACAUUUUGCAAUAUUCCACAAACUGUAAAACAUCAACAAACAAAGAAUUUAGGAGGCUGUUGUUUUAAAUUCAAAAAGUGCUUUUUAAAUAUGAAGAUAUUAAACAAGUGUGAUAUUUACAUUUCAGCGUUUCCUAUUGAUAUUGAUGAGAUUGUUGUUCCUGGUUAAAAUAACAACAUGCAGGUGCUUGGUGUUUGAGAAACAUCUAUUUUGUAAUGUCAGGGUCGAGGGUGGAAGGCAGGACUCAAAUGCAGACUUCUCCAAACAAAACACUUUAAUAGUCAAAAGGUCAAAAACACAGGAACCGGGGGCAAAAGCACAUAGGCAAAAAACUACAGCGAUCCAGGACGAAAGACAAGAACAAGCGUGGCAAAAGACAAUGACGCGACAAGUGACACAAGAGACACACGGCUUAAAUACACAAGGGAGGUGCAGGUGAUUGGACACAGGUGGAAACUAUUAGACAAUCACAGGGGACAACGGGACAAGGCAGGAAGUGAAGUUACCCGGGGACACAAGUGGCAGAAAACUACAAAAUAUAACAUGAAGUGAACCACACCGUGACAUUGUAAUUUACUAUGCAAAUGCUAAGAAGAAAACCUUGAAGCAGUGAGGUGACUGCAAGAGAAGACAGGUGGUUUAUUGAAUUAAAUCUGGUAAGCUAAAUUUAGACUGUGAAAGAUGCAGCCGACAAGUGUGGAUGAGAUCUAAGAAGGGUGUAUGUGUAGGUGAGUGUGUGUGUGUUAGAUUGUGGAGUCAAAUUUAAGAAAAAUGUCUAAGCAAAAUAUUCAGAUAUCAAGGGACUUUGUGAUAACCACACAAGCAGCAUGCUGCCACAUUCACUGUGAUGAAACAUUUAAUAUCUAAUGGCAUCUGUCCGGCAGCACCUGCAUUUCAAUAUUGUGACCAUAAAAUGACGGCUCAGUUAUAACUUUUAAUAUGGUAACCCUUGACAGAUGUGAGAGUGCAAAAAUAGCAGAAUUUUUGCCCCCACUGACUAAAAACCAAUUUCAUAAGAAAUUGGGGGCAUUUUAUGAAACUUGUGAAAUAACAUUCAACCUUUGUUAAAAAUAAUAAAUUAACUUAUUUUCCUGUAUGUGUAAUUGUCAUCAAAUAGCACUAAUAAGACUAUUAGGCAGUAGUGUACAGAUUCUGUACAGUUUUCUUUUGAACCAAAUCAAACAGAAAACAUAAAUCAGACUCAUUCAAUUUUAUUUUUAGUUUCUCGUGUUUAGCUUGACCAUUUUGCAGAACGCAGAAUGUUAUUGAGCCGAUUACUUCAUGCUUCUGUAAAAACAAAACACUAAAUAUUUAAACCUUGAGACCAGUCAACUGCGUCUCACUAAUGUUCACAGCAAAAGCGAAGCAAAUUAUUUGAAUGAGUAGAUUCCAUGCAAAGUCAAUGCACAGAAGCGCAUGUUUGUGGAGGAAGCAAAUUUUCAACGCAAAUUCUCAACACAAUGCUGCAUGGGGGACCCGAAAAAGCUAAAGGAGAGAAGCGAAUGAAUAGCUUUUUCACCAAAGGUAAAAUAUUUCAACAACGCUGUCCUGCGAAAGCCAAUCAGCAUUGAGAUCCUCUCCUCCGCUCGUUAUCGCCGCCGUCCUACUGCCAAAGCGUGAAUACACUUUAUGAAACUGUCACUUACCGAGACAGACAGCUCAGAUUGAAAGAUCGUAAGUUAAUGUGCAACGUUUGUGUUAUUUCCACAACAGGUACAGAGCACAAAUAGUGUAUUUCCAUAGUGGAUAGCGGAAAUGAUAACUGCCUUUACAGAGAUAAGCCACACCCCCUUUCCAAAAAAUUCUCUCACCGACUGCACUCUGUCUAACAUUGGCUAACUUAGCUAGGUUAGCUAGCACGCCCCCAUAGCUAACUAAUCAGAACUAGCUAACGUUAGCCAACUAAAUCAUUUCAAAAUAAUGAAUACUUAGUCAUCACUCACCAUCAUAAGAAUUUGCUGGUGCAAGGUUGGCAACGAUGUUGCUUGACAGAUGCCAAUGUGGUGUACUGUGCUUUUGGACACACUACCUAUAUGAUAUUAGAUACUGUGAAUGCCACAUACAUCAUGUUGUGUAGCAAAAAGAGAAAUGCCAUAUUUUUAAUCAGCUUCCACUGUUUGUGGUUGCAGGUCAGCGUGUGAGGAAGCUAAAAUGGACUUUUCUAUAAGCGGAGCGAGAGGGCCUCGGGGCAUACAGUCCACGCUUGGGCCGCCCCCCUCAUCCCCCAAGGACUCAGGCUUUUCUUCUUUCAGAACAUUGGGUCAUUACUGUGGAGAGUGUGAGAGGGGAACAUUGUGCUCACUUCAGACAAAAAAGAGCAACAGGUGAAAGAUGGAAUCUAGUGUGAUAGAUUUGACAAUAGCCCCCAAAUACCACUAUCACCAAGGGAACUCAACAUCAAACACAAAAGAAGGGGGGGUUAUCAUCUCGGUCAACGUAAGCGGGGGAGGUUGAGUCUUCUUAAUCGCUUCAUCAUACCAUAGAAGAGAAGCUAAAAGCUGAACUUAAAACUCAAAAUGUAGCUGCACAAGCGCUAUGUAAAACGGAGUCAAAGAGAAACAAAAGGGACAGACCACAACCUCUUUGGUGGUGGAUUUCAGUUUGUACAACCUUCUGACUAAUUAACUCUAUCUUCUAACUUUAACAUGUGGUGAGGUACGUAGGACUUUCAGUAACACCCCCACACAGAACACACUGGACAUUCAGAUGUUUCAAAUCACAGAGAUGUAUUGGAAUCACACAGACUCUAAUGAAACAAGCUCUUUCCAGAAAGACACAUACGAGGCAGUUGUACAUAAUAAUACCACAUUUGACGCAUUCAUUCAUUUCAUAUUGGGGGGGACGUCUCCAUCUCCUUUAUUUGGGUUCUGAUCAUAACCAGUUUCUUGAUGUUUUUAACACAAUGCUCCAAAUGAUCCUCUAUCCGUUUAUAGUAACCUCAUGUUGGCCUCCACCUCGUCUCUCCAAGUUUCUAAAUAUGGCUGGACAAAGAAAUACAUCAUCAAACAACUUGGAUGGAUGAGUUCCAAAACACACUGUGUUCAGUUGAACGCCAAAGCGUAUUUAGUCACAUUAAACAAACGUGAACAUAAAGAUCUGAACACAUAAAGAUCUGAACACUAAUUAUGAUUAUAUGGAAACGAGGGAUUGAAACGUGUUGGAACCCACAAAACACAUUUUUCCCUUACAAGCCAUAAAAGUGACUGAUUGUGAACAGGUUGAUAAAGCACAAGGAGCUGUUGUGCUAUUGGACAAUAUCAACCCUUAGGUAAUAGGAAAGGAGCAUUUUAACAUCUGGUCAUUUCUUUAUGGGUCAGUGCCUGGACCAGUGGUGGAACAUCUAGGCCUGGCUUACUGCAUCUAUGAACUCACAUGUGGUAUCUUGAGAUUGGCUACAAGACUAUUCAGGUGUUAUUUCCACUUUUGCAGCACAACAUUGGUAUUGUAGGUUUGGCUUAGAAACCUGUAGCAGGCAGGGAGUGUCCAAUAAAAAUACUAUAAAAGAUGUGUCCUAAGUGCUUAACACAUACAUUUUCAAUGAUAUUUGUUUCACUAUAUGACCAGACUUACUACUUGGCUGCAUGAUGAAUGCUUGGUACCGGAACAGAUGGAGCCAAGCAUCCCAGAAGACCUCUCAGCCGGUGUGGUCCAAUCUACUGUGAUCCAAUCUGAAAAAAGGCAUUGCUUAUUUACACAGAUACACAAGAGGAGACACAGAGACUGAACAGCUGCUACGAGCACUUGGAACCCCAAGCCGAAAAUGAACCUCCACAGAGACCAAGGCAAUCACCGGUGUCCCUGUAGACCAGGGGUGCCCACACUUUUCCGGCUCGCGAGCUACUUUUCAACUGACCAAGUCAUGGCGAUCUCCUCCCUCCCCAUGGAGGACCGCCCGGCGGGGGGGGGGGGGACCGUAAUAACGGUUACCAAGUGGAACAGCAGGACUGAAGUCAGCGCAAAACGAGUCGAUAUGGAGAAAACAACUAGCCUCUCAUCUGUCACAAGGAGGGAACCGUCACAAGCAUCCCGCACAUUCUUUAGAAUAAAAUUAAAUGCGUCCGUUAGUAAGCAAGGGUCGCUAAUUAGCAUUAGUUCCGGUCAUCUCCCGCGGGAAUGGGCCGCGCAUAUGGGUCAUUCUUUUAAUUGAUUGCAUGCGAUCGACUGGUACUGCCUUCAAGACAGACUGGUUGAUCGCGAUCAACCUAUUGGGGAACACUGCAGUUACAUUUAGAUAUUUAGACAGUUGACAAAGAUCUUGCAAACCUGUGCUUUUGUCAUUACACAUCUCCAAAAUGAAUGAAGUUGCUGUAAGUGAAUGUAAUGACAGCUUAAGGUUUAAAGGUAAUUUUCAUAUCAGUCUGAAACAUUUAAGAAUUAGACCUAAGAGUAGUUCUGAGUAAAUGGUAGAGGCUUUGGCUAUAACUAACUUUAAGGCUUAGUCUAUGGGGAUGCAGAAACAUUUUUUAUGAAAAAAUAAACACUUCAGAACACAUGCAUUAACAUCAAUCAAUGCGAUCUAUUUUUAACUGCAGUUGAAAGUAAACAAGUACAAUCAAUGUUGACCUUAUUUACCUGUUGUCUUGAUAAUACAAUAAUGCCAUCAGAAGGGCAUCAGUAAUGGUGGUUGGUCAUGAAUACCACUUUGCUACAAAUACCCAAAUUGUUUUCAUUUAGUCAUCACUUCCUCAAUUUGCAGAUUUUUUGGCCGCUAAAAUAAAACCAACAAUUCUUGCAAAUAUUUCAAAUGAAAAGCCAGAAAUCUUUUGACAUUAAAUAUCCGUGCAUGAAGACUGGGGGGGCUGUACUGCUGUAAACAGUGUGGCUACCAAAGGGUGGAGCAGAUCUUCUAUCAGCUGAGGUGGUGCUGAGCGGAGACUUCGAAAGCCAGCAGGUUGAAACAUCAGGUAGUCUGCAGAAAAAGAUUGGUUUAAAAGAUGGGGAUGGGAUAUAAAACUUGUAAAAUCUGCAUAAACGAGACAGCACUGAAGCAAUCAAACGGCAAUAGGCUUGAUAUCACACCCAAUACGGUGACAAAAUAAUAAAAGAUCCAAAUGUAGUUGGAAAAACACUAAAACCUAUGUAUAUCUAAAAGCUCCGACCCUCUUUCCUCCUCUCCGGGAGCGAUGUGACUGCACAGACAGGAGCAGGACCUCUUAACAGUUAUUACAUGGUCGUAGCAGGUAUAUAACAAUAACAUGACACAAUGUAACCACUCAUGCUCAAAUAUGAUUUUUUCUUUUAAAGCUCAAUGCUCUACAAACAGAAGCAAAGUAAGAAAAUGUCUCCCUAUUCAUGCACAUCAAUGGGUCUUUUCUCCAUUUGUAGCAUUUUGUUGGGAACCUGGGGAUAAUGAUUUCUUGUGCUUGUGUUUUGCCUACUUGCAUAUGUUUUCUCAUUCGCAGUGCUUCGAGCUCCCAGGGCCAGCCUGACCCCUUCUCCUCUGAUCCACAAUAACAGGAUUCCUGCUGGCUCAAAGAGUGUUUGGAUUCCAAACAAUAGAUGGUGAGGUGUACAUAAUGAUGGAGAAGACAGAGCUGAAUGACAUUCCCUUGUGCGUAUUCAUGCUGAGAGCCUCUGCAGCUUCAUUUGUAUUGUGCAGUAAGGAUCACUAUAAUGCUCGGCUGAAUACCAAUGAAGCAACAUCUCAGUUACAUUCAAAGUCAAGUGUAAAAUCACUGUGAUUUGCAUUUUAUUUAAUCAAACUUUCUCUGAGCCUUUCUAAAAGCAAUAUGAAGCAGAUUAGUGUGUGUGUGUGUGUGUGUGUGUGUGUGUGUGUGUGUGUGUGUGUGUGUGUGUGUGUGUGUGUGUGUGUGUGUCUGUGAUAUAACAUUGCUGCAUUUCCCUCUCGGAGUGAUCAGCCUGCACUUUUUUCGAAGUGGCAUUUUAAAGUGUUCUCUGGCAAAAUCAUUUAAAGCACACAAUGUUCACAUCAGGGCGAACAUGAAUAUACUGUUUCAAGUUGUAACUUGAGAGGAGAGGAAACUGAGCACAGGCUGGUACAUAAUGGCUCCCAUACUGGAUCAUUGAGUAUAGUUGUAAAGGUAUUUUUAAACCUCUAUCAUAGUGGGCGGUCGGGGCUUCUGCUAUUGUGUCUUCAAUUGUAUGAAUUCAAUGUGUUUCAUGUGUGGUGAAAAGAUGAUAAGAGAGUUCAAAUAUACCGUUUGUGCUAUUGUGUGUGAAAAUGUCACAUUUCACACAGUCCUCAGCCAUCUUCAACCAAGAGCUGCAAGCUUCUAAACACGAUCAUACAUUGUAAGCAAACUUUGGCUGGUGCUCAGAGAACAUUUGGAGGUAACGGAGUAUCGGCACUGGGCAUACUACCAGAUGUUAAUCCCCAAAUCACUAAAUAUGACAAUGAGAAACAUUGCAGCAUUACGUUUAUGCAGGGAAUUCUUCUAAAGGAUAACUACUACUACAACUACUACUACUACUGUACAAUUAACCCCAAACGGUAAUUGUUGUUAAUGUUAUUUUAAACACAAAACUACACACAUUUGAUCAUCUUGGAGGUAGAAUUUCCCCUUAUGGUUCAACAUGUUGAACUGUUGUCCUCGUGCACUCUGCUCUCAACUCUCCAUAAUGUAACGCCUGUAUUUGAAGUGCCAACAAUCUCCCCACAUUUAGCCAGAACGUUUUCAAAUCAAGGUCUUUUAGGGACACCGUGGUGGUCCUCUGCAGACUGUGUGCCGCACAGGGUAACGUUAGAUGUUGAGAUGGAGGCAGCCUAGCUGCUACCUUAGCCUGGCAGCUAGUUUAGCCUAGCAGUGCUUUAAGUGGUCCGUUUGUCACUCACUCACUUUCUGUUUGACACGUGGAGUAAUUCCUCUGCACCACUGUAUGUUGCGCCUCUGUUUGUUUUACUUCCAAUGCAAAAAUCUUUCCAUCUUGAUGUAACUGGUUGCAGUUAGCGGCCGUUUUGUUUCCACGGUCAACUUCAGUUAACCAGAAGUAAACAAACGUACGUUAACUAUGUUAAAAUAUUUUGUUGGAUUAAUCGCGGCCGCAUUAAUCGCAUAGAUUAAUGCAUUUAUGUUGACAGUCCUAGCAAUUAUAGAUAUUUCAUUCUUCAUAUCAGUUUUUUUUGGAAACUGCAGCCACGUAGCCAGACUGAUGACAACCCCCUCUCCCUGUGCAAUCAAUGCCAUCCACUGUGAAGAGCUGAGCACACCCUCAAAGGGCGCGUAGUCAUGAUACCAACGGGUAAACACGUUUCCCCUUCAUCAUCUACAGUGUGUACAGUGUCCAUCAAGAAUAAAGCAUGGAGGUCUGAUCCACCUGAUUAAGGGAUGCAAAAAAAAGAGUGCGUAGCGUGGGCCCUGAGGAGAGAAGGCCUGUUCCAUGAGAUGUCCCGUCCUGGGGGGACCUAUUCCAAUAAACAUGCAUGAGAUGGGAUACAAGCUGAAACUUGUUACGAGACACCUCUGAAAGCCAUUUUUAUGAAGAUCAUGUAUUUUGAGGUCUUUGUUUCUAAAUAAAACCAGGUUUUCAAGUUAUCCACAACUAACGGAGCACUGGUCAAACUUGACAUUGAUGAAGCUCAUGUGAUGGCAAUCAAAAGCUCCAGAACCGCUAGAGAGACAUUUAAUAGAACACUUGAUGUUUAUUUGAAAAAUUGAUUGUAUCAACUGUGUUUCACGGUCUUCCUCUGUGUUUUCUCAGUUGCCAUGGAGAUGGUUCCGUCGUCAUCCCAUCUUGUAGUACACAGUGUCCACCAUCUCCUCAAUGGCCAUUCAAAGUCCAUUUGUGCGUGAAAACAAGGAUACGUCGUAGAAGAUCCGACGCAAAGCCUGUAAGUGCGCAUUGAGUGAAUAUAUAAUGCAGUUAAAACACAGAUCGUAUGAGGGGAUGUUUAAAGGUGCUCUCCGUCAGGCUGCACCCUUCAGAAACCAAAAGCCUGGAGUCAUGUUGAUUUCCAAAAUAAGCCGUUUGAGGCUGAGGCUGAGUAACUGCUCCGAUCAAUGACCCACGGCCAGUGUGAUUCUGAGGAGCAUGACGUCUUCAAGGCCGGACUCACAGGGAGGAGCACAUUGCCCAUGCAUGGCCAAUAAAGCCCAUUGUGAUCUUAACGAUGCCACAGCAUGUGUGAGGUGUAAAGGGGGUGGGAGUGCGUCC